Molecule: transfer RNA, 73 nt
Filed under: Nibea coibor
Lineage: Eukaryota; Metazoa; Chordata; Actinopteri; Sciaenidae
Description: tRNA-Asn
Source: RNAcentral
UAAACGGAUGCCUGCUGGUUUACGCGCUUAGCUGUUAACUAAGAGUUUGUAGGAUCGAGGCCUACUCGUUUAG